CCUACGGGAGGCAGCAGUAGGGAAUAUUGCUCAAUGGGGGAAACCCUGAAGCAGCAACGCCGCGUGGAGGAUGAAGGUUUUCGGAUUGUAAACUCCUUUUGUUAGAGAAGAUAAUGACGGUAUCUAAAGAAUAAGCACAGGCUAAUUCCGUGCCAGCAGCCGCGGUAAUGCGGAGGGUGCAAGCGUUACUCGGAAUCAGUGGGCGUAAAGAGCGCGUAGGCGGGAUAGCAAGUCAGAUGUGAAAUCCUAUGGCUUAACCAUAGAACUGCAAUUGAAACUGUUAUUCUAGAGUAUAGGCGAGGUAGGUGGAAUACUUGGUGUAGGGGUAAAAUCCGUAGAGAUCAAGAAGAAUACUCAUUGCGAAGGCGACCUGCUAGAACAUAACUGACGCUGAUGCGCGAGAGCAUGGGUAGCAAACAGGAUUAGAUACCCGUGUAGUC
Molecule: ribosomal RNA, 440 nt
Filed under: uncultured bacterium
Lineage: Bacteria
Description: partial 16S ribosomal RNA
Rfam family: Bacterial small subunit ribosomal RNA
Source: RNAcentral